This 66-nucleotide transfer RNA is filed under the name Amegilla calceifera. RNAcentral's name for it is "tRNA-Gly". The record is from RNAcentral. Lineage: Eukaryota; Metazoa; Arthropoda; Insecta; Hymenoptera; Apidae.
AUAUAUAUAGUAUAAAAAUUACAAUUAACUUCCAAUUAAUAAAUUUUAUUAAAUUAAAUAUAUAUA